CCUUGUUUUCUCACGUGAGAUCGGCACCACCACAGUUCGAAAGUCGACGAAAUUCGAGGUUUUAGCCGGCCGGCGACCGAACAGAGAGGGGACGUCGUGCCACGGAUUCAUUCAUAAAUGAAACUAGAAUACUUUCUGAAUCCGACAGUGUAAAC
Molecule: long non-coding RNA, 155 nt
Organism: Priapulus caudatus
Lineage: Eukaryota; Metazoa; Priapulida; Priapulimorpha; Priapulimorphida; Priapulidae
Exons: 3
Source: RefSeq, a predicted model, not a curated record